AACGUUUGAUGAGGCAGCUUUCACGUUCAAAUCAAUAACAAUAUCAACAUGUAGAGGUGACACCCUGAAAAACAUGAUUCCGAAGAGCGUUGGCCAGUGUCAGGGCUGAACCAGGACGAGUCACAAGAGAUAUGAUUUAACGAGUGUCCCACGAUAAUUCGCCAUUUUGAAACCGUGAGGGGCUUUGAGACGAAAAUAACCACCAGCUGCUGGUACACUUUAUGAUACAUACACCACCUAUUACAGUGGCCCAUCAUUAUGGCGGAAAGAACGCAUUUUAAUUUUAUCACAUUUUGUAAAAAGGAGCAAGUAUAUUUCUCGGCGCUGACAUUGAUUCUUCCGUAGCUCUUUGCUUUUGUUACAACGAGCAUAUCAGACUUUCCCGGAGAAUUGUGAUCGUGUGGUAUUUUUGUAUUUAAUUUUUUUAAUUCACACCGAUCUAUUUUCGAUAUUCCUUAUUUUUUUUAGGAAGCCCAAAGUCACGAGGAGGAUCCCCCAGCUACUGCUGGUCGUGCAAGAAAAAGAGAGUCCUUUUUUUGAGGCGUUUGAGACAGACUCAAGCAAGCGCAACCAGAUGGAUAGACAGUACAUGAAGUCUAUGCAAACAAAAAUGCAAGAAUGGUA
Molecule: long non-coding RNA, 624 nt
Organism: Pocillopora damicornis (cauliflower coral)
Lineage: Eukaryota; Metazoa; Cnidaria; Anthozoa; Scleractinia; Pocilloporidae
Source: RefSeq, a predicted model, not a curated record